UGGGGGUACUGGGGGUAGCUUGCUACCUGCCGGCGAGUGGCGAACGGGUGAGUAAUACAUCGGAACGUGCCCUGUAGUGGGGGAUAACUAGUCGAAAGACUAGCUAAUACCGCAUACGACCUGAGGGUGAAAGUGGGGGACCGCAAGGCCUCAUGCUAUAGGAGCGGCCGAUGUCUGAUUAGCUAGUUGGUGGGGUAAAGGCCCACCAAGGCGACGAUCAGUAGCUGGUCUGAGAGGACGAUCAGCCACACUGGGA
RNAcentral lists this ribosomal RNA (256 nucleotides) under Ralstonia solanacearum. RNAcentral's name for it is "partial 16S ribosomal RNA". It matches the Rfam family "Bacterial small subunit ribosomal RNA", at positions 64 to 318 of the family's 1533-position model. The record is from RNAcentral. Lineage: Bacteria; Pseudomonadati; Pseudomonadota; Betaproteobacteria; Burkholderiales; Burkholderiaceae.